AGCGUACACGGUGGAUGCCCUGGCAGUCAGAGGCGAUGAAGGACGUGCUAAUCUGCGAUAAGCGUCGGUAAGGUGAUAUGAACCGUUAUAACCGGCGAUUUCCGAAUGGGGAAACCCAGUGUGUUUCGACACACUAUCAUUAACUGAAUCCAUAGGUUAAUGAGGCGAACCGGGGGAACUGAAACAUCUAAGUACCCCGAGGAAAAGAAAUCAACCGAGAUUCCCCCAGUAGCGGCGAGCGAACGGGGAGCAGCCCAGAGCCUGAAUCAGUGUGUGUGUUAGUGGAAGCGUCUGGAAAGGCGCGCGAUACAGGGUGACAGCCCCGUACACAAAAAUACACAUAUUGUGAGCUCGAUGAGUAGGGCGGGACACGUGGUAUCCUGUCUGAAUAUGGGGGGACCAUCCUCCAAGGCUAAAUACUCCUGACUGACCGAUAGUGAACCAGUACCGUGAGGGAAAGGCGAAAAGAACCCCGGCGAGGGGAGUGAAAAAGAACCUGAAACCGUGUACGUACAAGCAGUGGGAGCACGCUUAGGCGUGUGACUGCGUACCUUUUGUAUAAUGGGUCAGCGACUUAUAUUCUGUAGCAAGGUUAACCGAAUAGGGGAGCCGAAGGGAAACCGAGUCUUAACUGGGCGUUAAGUUGCAGGGUAUAGACCCGAAACCCGGUGAUCUAGCCAUGGGCAGGUUGAAGGUUGGGUAACACUAACUGGAGGACCGAACCGACUAAUGUUGAAAAAUUAGCGGAUGACUUGUGGCUGGGGGUGAAAGGCCAAUCAAACCGGGAGAUAGCUGGUUCUCCCCGAAAGCUAUUUAGGUAGCGCCUCGUGAAUUCAUCUCCGGGGGUAGAGCACUGUUUCGGCAAGGGGGUCAUCCCGACUUACCAACCCGAUGCAAACUGCGAAUACCGGAGAAUGUUAUCACGGGAGACACACGGCGGGUGCUAACGUCCGUCGUGAAGAGGGAAACAACCCAGACCGCCAGCUAAGGUCCCAAAGUCAUGGUUAAGUGGGAAACGAUGUGGGAAGGCCCAGACAGCCAGGAUGUUGGCUUAGAAGCAGCCAUCAUUUAAAGAAAGCGUAAUAGCUCACUGGUCGAGUCGGCCUGCGCGGAAGAUGUAACGGGGCUAAACCAUGCACCGAAGCUGCGGCAGCGACACUAUGUGUUGUUGGGUAGGGGAGCGUUCUGUAAGCCUGCGAAGGUGUACUGUGAGGUAUGCUGGAGGUAUCAGAAGUGCGAAUGCUGACAUAAGUAACGAUAAAGCGGGUGAAAAGCCCGCUCGCCGGAAGACCAAGGGUUCCUGUCCAACGUUAAUCGGGGCAGGGUGAGUCGACCCCUAAGGCGAGGCCGAAAGGCGUAGUCGAUGGGAAACAGGUUAAUAUUCCUGUACUUGGUGUUACUGCGAAGGGGGGACGGAGAAGGCUAUGUUGGCCGGGCGACGGUUGUCCCGGUUUAAGCGUGUAGGCUGGUUUUCCAGGCAAAUCCGGAAAAUCAAGGCUGAGGCGUGAUGACGAGGCACUACGGUGCUGAAGCAACAAAUGCCCUGCUUCCAGGAAAAGCCUCUAAGCAUCAGGUAACAUCAAAUCGUACCCCAAACCGACACAGGUGGUCAGGUAGAGAAUACCAAGGCGCUUGAGAGAACUCGGGUGAAGGAACUAGGCAAAAUGGUGCCGUAACUUCGGGAGAAGGCACGCUGAUAUGUAGGUGAAGCGACUUGCUCGUGGAGCUGAAAUCAGUCGAAGAUACCAGCUGGCUGCAACUGUUUAUUAAAAACACAGCACUGUGCAAACACGAAAGUGGACGUAUACGGUGUGACGCCUGCCCGGUGCCGGAAGGUUAAUUGAUGGGGUCAGCGCAAGCGAAGCUCUUGAUCGAAGCCCCGGUAAACGGCGGCCGUAACUAUAACGGUCCUAAGGUAGCGAAAUUCCUUGUCGGGUAAGUUCCGACCUGCACGAAUGGCGUAAUGAUGGCCAGGCUGUCUCCACCCGAGACUCAGUGAAAUUGAACUCGCUGUGAAGAUGCAGUGUACCCGCGGCAAGACGGAAAGACCCCGUGAACCUUUACUAUAGCUUGACACUGAACAUUGAGCCUUGAUGUGUAGGAUAGGUGGGAGGCUUUGAAGUGUGGACGCCAGUCUGCAUGGAGCCGACCUUGAAAUACCACCCUUUAAUGUUUGAUGUUCUAACGUUGACCCGUAAUCCGGGUUGCGGACAGUGUCUGGUGGGUAGUUUGACUGGGGCGGUCUCCUCCUAAAGAGUAACGGAGGAGCACGAAGGUUGGCUAAUCCUGGUCGGACAUCAGGAGGUUAGUGCAAUGGCAUAAGCCAGCUUGACUGCGAGCGUGACGGCGCGAGCAGGUGCGAAAGCAGGUCAUAGUGAUCCGGUGGUUCUGAAUGGAAGGGCCAUCGCUCAACGGAUAAAAGGUACUCCGGGGAUAACAGGCUGAUACCGCCCAAGAGUUCAUAUCGACGGCGGUGUUUGGCACCUCGAUGUCGGCUCAUCACAUCCUGGGGCUGAAGUAGGUCCCAAGGGUAUGGCUGUUCGCCAUUUAAAGUGGUACGCGAGCUGGGUUUAGAACGUCGUGAGACAGUUCGGUCCCUAUCUGCCGUGGGCGCUGGAGAACUGAGGGGGGCUGCUCCUAGUACGAGAGGACCGGAGUGGACGCAUCACUGGUGUUCGGGUUGUCAUGCCAAUGGCACUGCCCGGUAGCUAAAUGCGGAAGAGAUAAGUGCUGAAAGCAUCUAAGCACGAAACUUGCCCCGAGAUGAGUUCU
This 2772-nucleotide ribosomal RNA is filed under the name Escherichia coli. RNAcentral's name for it is "bacterial LSU rRNA". It matches the Rfam family "Bacterial large subunit ribosomal RNA". Lineage: Bacteria; Pseudomonadati; Pseudomonadota; Gammaproteobacteria; Enterobacterales; Enterobacteriaceae. The record is from RNAcentral.